UACGUAGGGUGUGAGCGUUAAUCGGAAUUACUGGGCGUAAAGCGUGCGCAGGCGGUUUUGUAAGCCAGAUGUGAAAUCCCCGGGCUUAACCUGGGAAUGGCAUUUGGGACUGCAAGGCUUGAGUGCGGCAGAGGAGACUGGAAUUCCUGGUGUAGCAGUGAAAUGCGUAGAUAUCAGGAGGAAUACCGAUGGCGAAGGCAGGUCUCUGGGCUGACACUGACGCUCAUGCACGAAAGCGUGGGGAGCAAACAGG
Molecule: ribosomal RNA, 253 nt
Filed under: uncultured bacterium
Lineage: Bacteria
Description: partial 16S ribosomal RNA
Rfam family: Bacterial small subunit ribosomal RNA
Source: RNAcentral